This 253-nucleotide ribosomal RNA is filed under the name uncultured bacterium. Its description in RNAcentral is "partial 16S ribosomal RNA". It matches the Rfam family "Bacterial small subunit ribosomal RNA", at positions 524 to 776 of the family's 1533-position model. The record is from RNAcentral.
UACGGAGGGUACAAGCGUUGUCCGGAUUUAUUGGGUUUAAAGGGUGCGUAGGCGGCCCGUUAAGUCAGUGGUGAAAUCCCAGGGCUCAACCCUGGAACUGCCAUUGAUACUGACGGGCUUGAGUUCGGUUAAGGCGGGCGGAACUGGUGGUGUAGCGGUGAAAUGCUUAGAUAUGACACAGAACACCGAUUGCGAAGGCAGCUCACUAAACUGUAACUGACGCUGAGGCACGAAAGCAUGGGGAGCAAACAGG